Molecule: ribosomal RNA, 253 nt
Filed under: uncultured bacterium
Lineage: Bacteria
Description: partial 16S ribosomal RNA
Rfam family: Bacterial small subunit ribosomal RNA
Source: RNAcentral
UACGGGGGGGGCAAGCGUUGUUCGGAAUUACUGGGCGUAAAGGGCUCGUAGGUGGCCAACUAAGUCAGACGUGAAAUCCCUCGGCUUAACCGGGGAACUGCGUCUGAUACUGGAUGGCUUGAGUUUGGGAGAGGGAUGCGGAAUUCCAGGUGUAGCGGUGAAAUACGUAGAUAUCUGGAGGAACACCGGUGGCGAAGGCGGCAUCCUGGACCAACACUGACACUGAGGAGCGAAAGCCAGGGGAGCAAACGGG